AAUGGAUCCCAUCUGUGGGGCCUGAGUUUACCAUCCCUGGAUCACUGACUUUGAGAAAGGAAAGCAAGGACUCAUAGUUUCUAGCUUCUAAACUCAUUAUGGACUUAAACCUCUCAUUAAUGAGAAAGACCAUCCAGUGAGAAGGUAACUCUGGCCAGGAAUUAUAAAACUGCUUCCUUAUCAGGCUUGAGUUGAGAAGUUGGUGGCCCAGAGUUGUGGUGUGAAGCAGUCUUGCUGCCCUGAGAGAAUGAAGGGGACUGGAGAGCCUGUUCUAGAACCUGGACAGUAAACAAUGACAUUAAUCGGGACCCUCCAGAUAAUGGAAGAGAUAAGCAUGAGGGCCUCGAGUUUGGACUCCAGGCUCUAACUUACCAUAAGUUCAGAAGAGAGGAAGACUUUUGGGUUAUGUUUAUCAGAAAAGGUAAGACAUUGUAGAGGAUGAGAGAAGAUGAAUAUGGCAAAGGAAAGAGAAAAUGUCCAGGAACAAGAGAAGUGGAGCAAAAGGUGAACAGCUACUGAAACUGGACUCAUUAUGCCUUCUUACCUACUUUUACAUAAUA
Molecule: long non-coding RNA, 560 nt
Organism: Bubalus bubalis (water buffalo)
Lineage: Eukaryota; Metazoa; Chordata; Mammalia; Artiodactyla; Bovidae
Exons: 3
Source: RefSeq, a predicted model, not a curated record